GCCCCGGUAGCUCAGGUAGGAUAGAGCAACUGCCUCCUAAGCAGUAGGUCAGCCGUUCGAGUCGGCUCCGGGGUACCU
This 78-nucleotide transfer RNA is filed under the name Olavius algarvensis spirochete endosymbiont. RNAcentral's name for it is "tRNA-Arg-CCT". It matches the Rfam family "tRNA". Rfam says of the family: Transfer RNA (tRNA) molecules are approximately 80 nucleotides in length. Their secondary structure includes four short double-helical elements and three loops (D, anti-codon, and T loops). Lineage: Bacteria; Pseudomonadati; Spirochaetota; Spirochaetia; Spirochaetales. The record is from RNAcentral.